GACGAACGCUGGCGGCGUGCUUAACACAUGCAAGUCGAACGGAAAGGCCCUGCUUUUGUGGGGUGCUCGAGUGGCGAACGGGUGAGUAACACGUGAGUAACCUGCCCUUGACUUUGGGAUAACUUCAGGAAACUGGGGCUAAUACCGGAUAGGAGCUCCUGCUGCAUGGUGGGGGUUGGAAAGUUUCGGCGGUUGGGGAUGGACUCGCGGCUUAUCAGCUUGUUGGUGGGGUAGUGGCUUACCAAGGCUUUGACGGGUAGCCAGCCUGAGAGGGUGACCGGCCACAUUGGGACUGAGAUACGGCCCAGACUCCUACGGGAGGCAGCAGUGGGGAAUAUUGCACAAUGGGCGGAAGCCUGAUGCAGCAACGCCGCGUGCGGGAUGACGGCCUUCGGGUUGUAAACCGCUUUCGCCUGCGACGAAGCGUGAGUGACGGUAAUGGGUAAAGAAGCACCGGCUAACUACGUG
This 468-nucleotide ribosomal RNA is filed under the name uncultured bacterium. RNAcentral describes it as "partial 16S ribosomal RNA". It matches the Rfam family "Bacterial small subunit ribosomal RNA", at positions 28 to 507 of the family's 1533-position model. The record is from RNAcentral.